Molecule: ribosomal RNA, 253 nt
Filed under: uncultured bacterium
Lineage: Bacteria
Description: partial 16S ribosomal RNA
Rfam family: Bacterial small subunit ribosomal RNA
Source: RNAcentral
UACGUAGGGUGCAAGCGUUAUCCGGAAUUAUUGGGCGUAAAGAGCUCGUAGGCGGGUUGUCGCGUCUGCUGUGAAAACUGGAGGCUCAACCUCCAGCCUGCAGUGGGUACGGGCAGACUAGAGUGCGGUAGGGGAGAUUGGAAUUCCUGAUGUAGCGGUGAAAUGCGCAGAUAUCAGGAGGAACACCGAUGGCGAAGGCAGGUCUCUGGGCCAUAACUGACGCUGAGAAGCGAAAGCAUGGGGAGCGAACAGG